UUGAACGCUGGCGGCAUGCCUUACACAUGCAAGUCGAACGGUAACAGGUCUUCGGAUGCUGACGAGUGGCGAACGGGUGAGUAAUACAUCGGAACGUGCCCAGACGUGGGGGAUAACGAGGCGAAAGCUUUGCUAAUACCGCAUACGAUCUAAGGAUGAAAGCAGGGGACCGCAAGGCCUUGUGCGUUUGGAGCGGCCGAUGGCAGAUUAGGUAGUUGGUGGGAUAAAAGCUUACCAAGCCGACGAUCUGUAGCUGGUCUGAGAGGACGACCAGCCACACUGGGACUGAGACAUGGCCCAGACUCCUACGGGAGGCAGCAGUGGGGAAUUUUGGACAAUGGGCGAAAGCCUGAUCCAGCAAUGCCGCGUGCAGGAUGAAGGCCUUCGGGUUGUAAACUGCUUUUGUACGGAACGAAAAGGCUCUGGCUAAUACCUGGGGCACAUGACGGUACCGUAAGAAUAAGCACCGGCUAACUACGUG
This 481-nucleotide ribosomal RNA is filed under the name uncultured bacterium. Its description in RNAcentral is "partial 16S ribosomal RNA". It matches the Rfam family "Bacterial small subunit ribosomal RNA", at positions 30 to 507 of the family's 1533-position model. The record is from RNAcentral.